GAGGAAUAUUGGUCAAUGGGCGGGAGCCUGAACCAGCCAAGCCGCGUGAGGGAAUAAGGCCCUACGGGUCGUAAACCUCUUUUGUCGGGGAACAAAACCGGAGACGAGUCUCCGGCUGCGUGUACCCGAAGAAAAAGCAUCGGCUAACUCCGUGCCAGCAGCCGCGGUAAUACGGAGGAUGCGAGCGUUAUCCGGAUUUAUUGGGUUUAAAGGGUGCGUAGGCGGCCAUGUAAGUCAGCGGUAAAAGCCCGGGGCUCAACCCCGGCGAGCCGUUGAAACUGUGUGGCUGGAGACGGGGAGAAGUAGGCGGAAUGCGCGGUGUAGCGGUGAAAUGCAUAGAUAUCGCGCAGAACUCCGAUUGCGAAGGCAGCCUACCGGCUCCGGUCUGACGCUGAGGCACGAAAGCGUGGGUAUCGAGCA
This 420-nucleotide ribosomal RNA is filed under the name uncultured bacterium. RNAcentral describes it as "bacterial SSU rRNA". It matches the Rfam family "Bacterial small subunit ribosomal RNA", at positions 356 to 774 of the family's 1533-position model. The record is from RNAcentral.